Molecule: ribosomal RNA, 492 nt
Filed under: uncultured bacterium
Lineage: Bacteria
Description: partial 16S ribosomal RNA
Rfam family: Bacterial small subunit ribosomal RNA
Source: RNAcentral
AGUGAACGCUGGCGGUAGGCCUAACACAUGCAAGUCGAACGGCAGCACAGUAAGAGCUUGCUCUUACGGGUGGCGAGUGGCGGACGGGUGAGGAAUACAUCGGAAUCUACUUUUUCGUGGGGGAUAACGUAGGGAAACUUAUGCUAAUACCGCAUACGACCUACAGGUGAAAGCAGGGGAUCUUCGGACCUUGCGCGAUUGAAUGAGCCGAUGUCGGAUUAGCUAGUUGGCGGGGUAAAGGCCCACCAAGGCGACGAUCCGUAGCUGGUCUGAGAGGAUGAUCAGCCACACUGGAACUGAGACACGGUCCAGACUCCUACGGGAGGCAGCAGUGGGGAAUAUUGGACAAUGGGCGCAAGCCUGAUCCAGCCAUACCGCGUGGGUGAAGAAGGCCUUCGGGUUGUAAAGCCCUUUUGUUGGGAAAGAAAAGCAGCAGGUUAAUACCCCGCUGUUCUGACGGUACCCAAAGAAUAAGCACCGGCUAACUUCGUG